This is a non-coding RNA of Heligmosomoides polygyrus, 75 nucleotides long. The record is from Rfam. NCBI's taxonomy places the organism in Eukaryota, Metazoa, Nematoda, Chromadorea, Rhabditida, Heligmosomidae.
GCGCCGGCGGUGUAAAGGCGUAGAGCAUUCCCGCCCGGUCAGAGGGAGGUGCGGGUUCGAGUCCCGCCUGGCGCU